GGGGAUAUAGCUCAGCUGGGAGAGCGCUUGAAUGGCAUUCAAGAGGUCAGGGGUUCGAGCCCCCUUAUCUCCA
RNAcentral lists this transfer RNA (73 nucleotides) under Pelotomaculum thermopropionicum SI. It matches the Rfam family "tRNA". Rfam says of the family: Transfer RNA (tRNA) molecules are approximately 80 nucleotides in length. Their secondary structure includes four short double-helical elements and three loops (D, anti-codon, and T loops). Further hydrogen bonds mediate the characteristic L-shaped molecular structure. tRNAs have two regions of fundamental functional importance: the anti-codon, which is responsible for specific mRNA codon recognition, and the 3' end, to which the tRNAs corresponding amino acid is attached (by aminoacyl-tRNA synthetases). tRNAs cope with the degeneracy of the genetic code in two manners: having more than one tRNA (with a specific anti-codon) for a particular amino acid; and 'wobble' base-pairing, i.e. permitting non-standard base-pairing at the 3rd anti-codon position. Lineage: Bacteria; Bacillati; Bacillota; Clostridia; Eubacteriales; Desulfotomaculaceae. The record is from Rfam by way of RNAcentral.